GACGAACGCUGGCGGCGUGCUUAACACAUGCAAGUCGAACGGAAAGGCCCUGCUUUUGUGGGGUGCUCGAGUGGCGAACGGGUGAGUAACACGUGAGUAACCUGCCCUUGACUUUGGGAUAACUUCAGGAAACUGGGGCUAAUACCGGAUAGGAGCUCCUGCUGCAUGGUGGGGGUUGGAAAGUUUCGGCGGUUGGGGAUGGACUCGCGGCUUAUCAGCUUGUUGGUGGGGUAGUGGCUUACCAAGGCUUUGACGGGUAGCCGGCCUGAGAGGGUGACCGGCCACAUUGGGACUGAGAUACGGCCCAGACUCCUACGGGAGGCAGCAGUGGGGAAUAUUGCACAAUGGGCGGAAGCCUGAUGCAGCAACGCCGCGUGCGGGAUGACGGCCUUCGGGUUGUAAACCGCUUUCGCCUGUGACGAAGCGUGAGUGACGGUAAUGGGUAAAGAAGCACCGGCUAACUACGUGCCAGCAGCCGCGGUGAUACGUAGGGUGCGAGCGUUGUCCGGAUUUAUUGGGCGUAAAGGGCUCGUAGGUGGUUGAUCGCGUCGGAAGUGUAAUCUUGGGGCUUAACCCUGAGCGUGCUUUCGAUACGGGUUGACUUGAGGAAGGUAGGGGAGAAUGGAAUUCCUGGUGGAGCGGUGGAAUGCGCAGAUAUCAGGAGGAACACCAGUGGCGAAGGCGGUUCUCUGGGCCUUUCCUGACGCUGAGGAGCGAAAGCGUGGGGAGCGAACAGGCUUAGAUACCCUGGUAGUCCACGCUGUAAACGGUGGGUACUAGGUGUGGGGUCCAUUCCACGGGUUCCGUGCCGUAGCUAACGCUUUAAGUACCCCGCCUGGGGAGUACGGCCGCAAGGCUAAAACUCAAAGGAAUUGACGGGGCCCCGCACAAGCGGCGGAGCAUGCGGAUUAAUUCGAUGCAACGCGUAGAACCUUACCUGGGUUUGACAUGGAUCGGGAGUGCUCAGAGAUGGGUGUGCCUCUUUUGGGGUCGGUUCACAGGUGGUGCAUGGCUGUCGUCAGCUCGUGUCGUGAGAUGUUGGGUUAAGUCCCGCAACGAGCGCAACCCUUGUUCACUGUUGCCAGCACGUUAUGGUGGGGACUCAGUGGAGACCGCCGGGGUCAACUCGGAGGAAGGUGGGGAUGACGUCAAGUCAUCAUGCCCCUUAUGUCCAGGGCUUCACGCAUGCUACAAUGGCUGGUACAGAGAGUGGCGAGCCUGUGAGGGUGAGCGAAUCUCGGAAAGCCGGUCUCAGUUCGGAGUGGGGUCUGCAACUCGACCUCAUGAAGUCGGAGUCGCUAGUAAUCGCAGAUCAGCAACGCUGCGGUGAAUACGUUCCCGGG
This 1343-nucleotide ribosomal RNA is filed under the name uncultured bacterium. RNAcentral describes it as "16S ribosomal RNA". It matches the Rfam family "Bacterial small subunit ribosomal RNA", at positions 28 to 1378 of the family's 1533-position model. The record is from RNAcentral.